Mauremys reevesii (Reeves's turtle) is the source of this 682-nucleotide long non-coding RNA. RefSeq lists it as uncharacterized. Lineage: Eukaryota; Metazoa; Chordata; Testudines; Geoemydidae. The transcript has 3 exons. The record is from RefSeq and is a predicted model, not a curated record.
GAGAGAGGAUGUGUGCUGCAGGCGCCUGCCUGGGAACUGCCAGAGCACCAGACCAAAUAGGCCAGGUGUGCUGAGACCCAGCUGAAUACCCAGCUGUCUGCAGAAGCCCAUGAGGGGAAGGAGUCAUCGGGAACUUCACCAGCCAACUAUCCCAGAGGACCUGUGGACUACAGCCCAGGAAGACAGGGAAAAGAGCCAGCAGCAUCACCAUCAAGCAAUGCUGUGAUGUGAAGCCAUAAACAUUCUGUGACGGCACAAGCUGCUAUCUCUGCGGCCUGGAGGGGUGCCCCUCCACACACACUAAGUGACUAACCCUGAGGAGGAGGAGAAAGGAUUCAGGAGUAUAUGUUCAGUGAGAUGCUGCAACAGACCAUGAACAGAGGUCCUGGAGAGUGAAUACUGAAGAUAGUAUGGAGAAGGAAAGAGUGGACAGGAGAAAGGCCCAGGAGUCCCCUCAGGAAGAGGAAAGGGGCAUGCACCAGAACAUAAUGGGGCUUUUCUGGCACAAACACAAAUGCUGAAGGCUCUUGUGGAGCUACAGGUUCAACAAGCACAGGCUCACCUCCCUUUGCAGUCAAUGGAGAACUCCAUUUUAGCACCACACCUCACCUCACCACAUUCCACGUGGCAUCAAAGGCACAUCCCUACCCCUACCAUUCCAAGCCAGGGGACAGUAAGGACA